RNAcentral lists this ribosomal RNA (444 nucleotides) under uncultured bacterium. RNAcentral's name for it is "SSU rRNA". It matches the Rfam family "Bacterial small subunit ribosomal RNA", at positions 26 to 518 of the family's 1533-position model. The record is from RNAcentral.
AGAGCGAACGCUGGCGGCAGGCCUAACACAUGCAAGUCGAGCGCCCCGCAAGGGGAGCGGCAGACGGGAGAGUAACACGUGGGAACGUACCCUUCAGUUCGGAACAACCCAGGGAAACUUGGGCUAAUACCGAAUACGUCCGUAAGGAGAAAGAUUUAUCGCUGAAGGAUCGGCCCGCGUCUGAUUAGCUUGUUGGUGAGGUAACGGCUCACCAAGGCGACGAUCAGUAGCUGGUCUGAGAGGAUGAUCAGCCUCACUGGGACUGAGACACGGCCCAGACUCCUACGGGAGGCAGCAGUGGGGAAUAUUGGACAAUGGGCGCAAGCCUGAUCCAGCCAUGCCGCGUGGGUGAUGAAGGCCCUAGGGUUGUAAAGCCCUUUCGGCGGGGAAGAGUAAUGACGGUACCCGCAGAAGAGCCCCGGCUAACUUCGUGCCAGCAGCCGC